AGUCUGCAACCCGACUCCAUGAAGCUGGAUUCGCUAGUAAUCGCGCAUCAGCCACGGCGCGGUGAAUACGUUCCCGGGCCUUGUACACACCGCCCGUCAAGCCAUGGAAGCCGGGAGUGCCUGAAGUGUGCAACCGCAAGGAGCGCCCUAAGGUAAAACUGGUGACUGGGGCUAAGUCGUAACAAGGUAAC
This 191-nucleotide ribosomal RNA is filed under the name uncultured bacterium. Its description in RNAcentral is "partial 16S ribosomal RNA". It matches the Rfam family "Bacterial small subunit ribosomal RNA", at positions 1302 to 1500 of the family's 1533-position model. The record is from RNAcentral.